CUUCGGCCCGUUAGAUUGGCCAGAUGCUUUUUCCCCUAAUGCUUUGCGCGGCCGGCCUGUGGGUCCCUGAGUGGGAGAGUGGGUGGCAGGCGCGGAGAAGCUGCUGCAGGUGGUGGGCGAGCGGCCCGGGCUGGGGCGACGCUCCGAGGGCGGGAGAGGGUCUGACUGCGGGCUCACCUGCUCUUGCGGGAAGGAAGUAGUACCUGGGGAGCGAGGUGUCUCCUCAUAUACUGCUUACAGCUAUCCUGUGAGGUCGACAUGACAGGCACGAGGCCUGAUGCAUGGACAAGUGACUUUCUGGGAUCACGAAGCUGGCCUAGGGACCUUUCCUUAGUGCAUUGUCUCUGGCCAGCCAGACUGCAUCGGUCUGAGAACGAGUUGACCAGAGAGACAACCCACUGCUAUGCAAGACCCGCGGAAAAAUGUUUAAAGUGCCUGAUUUUGUUGCCAACCUUUAAAAAUUCUGAACAAAGGACAAAGACUUUCAAUUUCCUACUCUUCUUGAAGCACCAAAACCAUCCAGCAACGCUUGUGCUGUUCCUCUCACAGCCAAGACACUGCUGCCCCCUACAGGUGCUGUGGACUGGUUCAAAAGAGGUUAUCUCCAUACUUCUCAGAAUGGUUCUUAAAGUAUGAAAGUGGAUUACAUGCUCAGCAACACCAGCCAAGAAGUGAAAGUAUGGUCACCUGACUUUGGCUGGUGUGUGCCACAGGACUUCCUUCCUGCAGAUGUCAUAAUCAUGCCUUGCUCCAAAGGGAGUCAUUUCUUAUUUUCCACAACAAUCCGGCAGGAUCUGGGAUGGUAAUCCAGGAGGUGGGAAGGUGAGAAGAAUGUUAUUUUCUUCCUCCCACCUCUCGUAAACUAUCAGGGUGUCAUGGCAGCUCUGGCCCGGGCCAUUUUUCAGAGUGGAAGUUUUUAUCAUUUUGCACUGAGAUCAUAAACUGAGCCUGUCUGUCCCUCUGUUUAGACAUCUCCCCUCCAGGC
This 985-nucleotide long non-coding RNA is filed under the name Heterocephalus glaber (naked mole-rat). RNAcentral describes it as "lncRNA (ENSHGLG00100040879.1)". The record is from RNAcentral. Lineage: Eukaryota; Metazoa; Chordata; Mammalia; Rodentia; Bathyergidae.